This 86-nucleotide transfer RNA is filed under the name Rickettsiales bacterium. Its description in RNAcentral is "tRNA-Ser". It matches the Rfam family "tRNA". From Rfam's summary of the family: Transfer RNA (tRNA) molecules are approximately 80 nucleotides in length. Their secondary structure includes four short double-helical elements and three loops (D, anti-codon, and T loops). Further hydrogen bonds mediate the characteristic L-shaped molecular structure. tRNAs have two regions of fundamental functional importance: the anti-codon, which is responsible for specific mRNA codon recognition, and the 3' end, to which the tRNAs corresponding amino acid is attached (by aminoacyl-tRNA synthetases). tRNAs cope with the degeneracy of the genetic code in two manners: having more than one tRNA (with a specific anti-codon) for a particular amino acid; and 'wobble' base-pairing, i.e. permitting non-standard base-pairing at the 3rd anti-codon position. The record is from RNAcentral. Lineage: Bacteria; Pseudomonadati; Pseudomonadota; Alphaproteobacteria; Rickettsiales.
GGAUAAAUGGCUGAGUGGUUUAAAGUAUUAGUCUUGAAAACUAACGUAUUUAAUAAAUACCGUGGGUUCGAAUCCCACUUUAUCCU